RNAcentral lists this long non-coding RNA (884 nucleotides) under Triticum aestivum (bread wheat). RNAcentral's name for it is "long non-coding RNA (TAES_LNC002782)". The record is from RNAcentral. Lineage: Eukaryota; Viridiplantae; Streptophyta; Magnoliopsida; Poales; Poaceae.
ACCAUGGUCCUAAAAGCAGCAUCAAUCAUGGGAUGUUCCAGGACCCAUUCACCUUUGCCAUCAUUUCGCUAUCAUAGGGCCCGCCCCACCUUGGAGUUGGGUUGUUGCUUUGCCACAUUGCUCAUUACUGCAGCAAAACACAACAGGGUCAAGUGGCUGGAAUGAGUAUAUAUAGGAGCACAACAACAAUGUAGGCUACAACAGGUCUAGACACAACUUAAAGCAAGCAGCAAAUAGGGAAACAUGGUCCUAUGACAAAGAACCACAAAAAUAUAGUAGUAGUAACAAACAUGAACAGGCUAAUGGACAUGUGAACUGUGUGACAGUGUAAGAGCAGACUAUGGUUUGAAUUAUACCAAAUUAUCACCACUUACAAAAAAAGCAAAGAGGACUGAGCAGGAUUUUGAGGACGCCUAUUCACAUGUAAUCCUCGUAAUCCAGGUAAUAUUUGGGGAUACCCAGAGCAUGUAUAUCACAGAGAGCACCAAGUGUUUUAGAAUAAAGUGUUGGCGGCAGUUACUAGUACCAUUUUUUGCAGUCAGGAACAGUGGCCCCUUCUUCCCCUUCCUGACUGAUAUCAGCACCAUGGUCAAGGAGGUAUGUGGGGGCCGACAAGUUUCCUCCGUCCACAAAAUGCUCCACAUGCAUCUUCUUGCCUGGCACACAGUUAGGCAAGAUGAUGUUGAUCAGCAUAAUGAAUGGCUCAAUGUAGGCAUCCCAAUCGACUUGGCACAACCAGAUGGCCAUGGGCACACAUGCAUGAGAGAGCAAAGAAGAGACUUAACGCAUGCGGCGGAGUUGAAGAAGAAUCAACCACCGGAAGAGCAGGGCAGGAGGCGAAUCUUGUGCACCUGCACGAGGAAACCAAACCACGUAAAUCAGAC